Molecule: ribosomal RNA, 484 nt
Filed under: uncultured bacterium
Lineage: Bacteria
Description: partial 16S ribosomal RNA
Rfam family: Bacterial small subunit ribosomal RNA
Source: RNAcentral
AUUGAACGCUGGCGGCAGGCCUAACACAUGCAAGUCGAGCGGAUGAAGGGAGCUUGCUCCUGGAUUCAGCGGCGGACGGGCGAGUAAUGCCUAGGAAUCUGCCUGGUAGUGGGGGAUAACGUCCGGAAACGGGCGCUAAUACCGCAUACGUCCUGAGGGAGAAAGUGGGGGAUCUUCGGACCUCACGCUAUCGGAUGAGCCUAGGUCGGAUUAGCUAGUUGGUGGGGUAAAGGCCUACCAAGGCGACGAUCCGUAACUGGUCUGAGAGGAUGAUCAGUCACACUGGAACUGAGACACGGUCCAGACUCCUACGGGAGGCAGCAGUGGGGAAUAUUGGACAAAGGGCGAAAGCCUGAUCCAGCCAUGCCGCGUGUGUGAAGAAGGUCUUCGGAUUGUAAAGCACUUUAAGUUGGGAGGAAGGGCAGUAAGUUAAUACCUUGCUGUUUUGACGUUACCAACAGAAUAAGCACCGGCUAACUUCGUG